RNAcentral lists this long non-coding RNA (231 nucleotides) under Olea europaea (common olive). RNAcentral's name for it is "long non-coding RNA (OEUR_LNC014046)". The record is from RNAcentral. Lineage: Eukaryota; Viridiplantae; Streptophyta; Magnoliopsida; Lamiales; Oleaceae.
GCACCAGAAGCAGAACUAGGCCCAACUCUAGUUGAAGUUCUCGAUGUACCACGACUAGUCGUUUCUUGCACACGGAUGUCAUCCGGUAUUGAUUUUACUACAUUAUCUAAUUCUCCAUUGACAAUGGCAUCUAAUAUACUAUGUUCAUUGUCAACUGACAGUGAAAGACUUAUGUACCACAGUGUUUGUAAUUCUUCUUCCAUAUGCUGCAGCACUGCAAUGACUUCGAUC